RNAcentral lists this ribosomal RNA (515 nucleotides) under Cladosporium sphaerospermum. RNAcentral's name for it is "eukaryotic LSU rRNA". The stretch from base 147 to 300 matches the Rfam family "5.8S ribosomal RNA". Lineage: Eukaryota; Fungi; Ascomycota; Dothideomycetes; Cladosporiales; Cladosporiaceae. The record is from RNAcentral.
CGGCCCUCGGGCCGGGAUGUUCACAACCCUUUGUUGUCCGACUCUGUUGCCUCCGGGGCGACCCUGCCUCCGGGCGGGGGCCCCGGGUGGACAUCUCAAACUCUUGCGUAACUUUGCAGUCUGAGUAAAUUUAAUUAAUAAAUUAAAACUUUCAACAACGGAUCUCUUGGUUCUGGCAUCGAUGAAGAACGCAGCGAAAUGCGAUAAGUAAUGUGAAUUGCAGAAUUCAGUGAAUCAUCGAAUCUUUGAACGCACAUUGCGCCCCCUGGUAUUCCGGGGGGCAUGCCUGUUCGAGCGUCAUUUCACCACUCAAGCCUCGCUUGGUAUUGGGCGACGCGGUCCGCCGCGCGCCUCAAAUCGACCGGCUGGGUCUUUCGUCCCCUCAGCGUUGUGGAAACUAUUCGCUAAAGGGUGCCGCGGGAGGCCACGCCGUAAAACAACCCCAUUUCUAAGGUUGACCUCGGAUCAGGUAGGGAUACCCGCUGAACUUAAGCAUAUCAAUAAGCGGGGGAAAA